Symphalangus syndactylus (siamang) is the source of this 5155-nucleotide long non-coding RNA. RefSeq lists it as uncharacterized. The record is from RefSeq and is a predicted model, not a curated record. Lineage: Eukaryota; Metazoa; Chordata; Mammalia; Primates; Hylobatidae.
CGCCUGCAGGGCAGCGCCAGCCGGCGGGCGGCUCUGAAUCCGGGCCUGGGCCUGGGCCUGGGCCUCAGCGCGGGCGGAGGCGAAGGCCUGCUUGAGGGAGUGGUCGCCGGGGAAAUUGGCAUAUCUUUGCAAAAAAGUACCCAAGGAGCGCGGGAGAGCUCGGCGUAGAGUGGGCGUCCAGUUUGACACAAAGGCCCAGGAAUGCGGCUUACACAGUCCUGACCCUACAGCUGGCCCUCCAUCCUCUCUGCUCUCCCAGGAGAAGAUGGGAACUGGCUUCUUCAGCCAAGGACAAAGCCACGGUGGACAAUCGCAGGCCUAGACCCAAGGUUUGCCCUCCCUCCUGCCUCCAUCUUUACAAAUCUCAUGCAUGAGGCCAACUCCCCUCCUACUGAUGACUCCAUCUCCUCCGCUGAACUCAUCUCCAUCUCUCUGCUGAUCUCAUGGAGUGGAACCUCAAGCCACUCCACUGGCACUUGAUUUUGUAGUCUUGUGUGUAUACAUUCCACUUCAUUAUGAGACGGUAGAUAGAGGCUAAGAUAAUGGAUGAGCUUUGAAGUCAAAUGGACAAGCAUUCAAAUCCUGGCUCUAUCUCUGUGCCCUCCUGGCAAGUUACUGAACCUGUCUCACCUUCAGUUGCUUCAGCUAUAAAAACAAAGUCUUGCUCUGUCACAAGGGUGGAGUGCAGCGGCACGAUCUCGGCUCACUGCAACCUCUGACUGACUUCCUGGUUCAAGCGAUUCUCCUGCCUCAGCCUCCCAAGUAGGUGGGAUUACAGGCAUGUGCCACCACACCCAGCUAAUUUUUGUAUUUUUAGUAGAGACGGGGUUUCACCAUGUUGGCCAGGAUGGUCUCAAUCUCCCGACCUCAUGAUCCGCCCACCUUGGCCUCCCAAAGUGCUGGGAUUACAGGCAUGAGCUACUGUGCCCAGCCGCUUAAAGAACUUAUUAAAUACAUUCUUUAUAAAGACACAUGCGUAUGUUCAUUGCUGCACUAUUCACAAUAGCAAAGACAUGGAAUCAACCUAAAUGCCCACCAGUAAUAGACUGGAUAAAGAAAAUGUGGUAUAUAUACACCAUGGAAUUCUAUGCAGUCAUAAAAAGGAACAAGAUAAUGUCCUUUGCAGGGACGUGGAUGGAACUGGAGGUCAUUAUCCUUAGCAAACAAAUGCAGGAACAGGAAACCAAAUACCGCAUGUUCUCACUUAUAAGUGGGAGAUAAGUGAUGAGAACACAUGGAUACAUGGAACCACACGCACUGGGGCCUGUCAGAUGAGACGGGAUGAGGGGAAGGAGAGGAUCAGGAAGAAUAGCUAAUGGAUGCUGGGCUUAAUAACUGGGCGACGGGAUGAUCUGUGCAGCAAAUCACCAUGGCACAUGUUUACCUAUGUAACAAACAUGCACAUGCUGCACAUGUACCCAGGAACUUAAAAGUUAGAAAUGAAAAAAAACUUACAUUCUAGUGGGUGAUAUACAUAAGAUGAACAUGUGGCCAAACAGAUAAUAUUAAAGUGAUAAUUGCAAUUUUACUUUAAAAAAGACCAUAGAGAUUGAUUAGAUUGGGGGAGGAGGUGGAGCACUAUUUUAGAUAGGGCAAUCAGGAGAGGUUCUCUGAGAGGGUGACAUUUGUGUAGGGACCUGAAUGAUGGAGAGAGCUAUGCAAAAAUCUGGAGAGAGCUGAUGUAAAGAUCCUGAAGCAGAAGUAAGCUCAGUGUAUUCACAUAACAGAAGUAAGGUCAACACAGUUAGGGCAGGAUAAGAGAGGAGUGAAGUAGGAGGUGAGAUGGGAGAGAGAAUAUGUGUGGAAGAGGCUCCAUAAAUAUUCUUUUUUUUUUUUUUUUUUUUUUUGGGACAGAGUCUCACUCUAUCACCCAGGCUGGAGUACAGUGGCACGAUCUUGGCUUAUUGCAACCUCUGCCUCCUGGGUUCAAGCGAGCACAUCCAGCUAAUUUUUUGUAUUUUCAGUAGAGAUGGGGUUUCGCCAUGUUGUCUAGGCUGGUCUCAAACUCCUGACCUCAAGUGAUCCGCCUGCCUCAGCCUCCCACAGUGCUGGGAUUACAGGUGUGAGCCACCACACCUGGCCCAGAAAAAACUGGAAACAAUCCAAAUGUCCAUCCAUAGGUGAAUGGAUGAACAGAUUGUGGUAAAUUCAUUCAGUGGAUGUUUUAGUCCAUUCUGUGUUGCUAUAGCAGAAUACCUGAGACUGGGCACUUUAUAAACAAUAGAAAUUUAUUUGGUUCACGGUUCUGGAUGCUGGGGAGACUAAGAGUAUAGCAGCAGCAUCUGGUGAUGGCCUUUGUGCUUCAUCAUAACCUUACCGCUUAAUGCCAUCACAAUGACAAUUAAAUUUCAACAUGAGUUUUGGGGGGACAUUCAAAACCAUAGCAAUGGAACACUACUCAACAAUAAAAAUGAAAUGAGUUACUGACACAUUCAAAAACAUGGUGGUUGGGCCACCCAGUUGGGGCAUCUAUAUAUUAUAUGCAGUUAAGUGAUUAGUUAUGCUUAUAUAAUAUUUAUAGUUUGGAAUAUUUAUGUUGCAUUUGUGGUGUUAACUAACCAUUCCUGUGGUGCUGAAGCAGCAUCACUGUCUGGGGUAAACACCUGGGGUUCAUUGUCUCGUGCUAAGAAGAUUAAGGACACGGACAAACAAGGAGUGAGUUUGGAAGCAGAGGUUUAAUAGGCAAAAGAAAGAGAAAGGAGAGCAGCUCUUUUUUGUGAGAGAGAGAGGCGUUGUCUGUAGGGGAAAAGCUGGCCUGCAGCAGACUGCAGCAGAUUUUAUAGGCAGGCUUGAGGAGGUGGUGUCUGAUUUAUGAAGGGCCCACAGAUUGGUUCGACCAGGUGUGAUGUUUACGUAGCACAAGGAGACGGCUGGUUGCCCCACCCCAAUCUUAUUAUGCAAAUGGGCUUUCCACUUGGCCAGUGCCAUCUUGUCUGCUUCUUACUGUACACAUGGCUAGCAAAGAGAAGGAAAUAUGCAGCUACCAUUUUAAUCAUGCCUAGUGCCAGGUAGCCUUUUCCUAUUGGCACAACUGCCAGCAUUCACCCAUGCAAGCUUCCAGCUUGCUUGUCUAUGCCUGCAGCUCGAUUUUACAGGCUGCUCUUUGUUAGAAAAGAAAAUGAUUUGGGGGCUGCUUUUCAUUAAAAGAAAAACCUUACCAAGGACUUCCUUACCUUCACAAUCUGCCUAAGUAAUUUCUUUUUAACUCCUUUAUCAGUGUUUCUCAAAUUUACCUGAUAAUAAUUACCUGGUGCAGGCCAGGCGCAGUGGCUCACGCCUGUAAUCCCAGCACUUUGGGAGGCAGAGGUGGGUGGAUCACCUGAGGUUGGGAGUUCGAGACCAGCCUGACCAACAUAGAGAAACCCCAUCUCUACUAAACACACAAAAUUAGCCGGGCAUGGUGGCGCAUGCCUGUAAUCCCAGCUACUCGGAAGGCUGAAGCAGGAGAAUCACUUGAACCCCGGGAGGCAGAGGUUGCGGUGAGCCAAGAUGGCGCCACUGCACUCCAGCCUGGGCAACAAGAGCAAAACUCCGUCUCAAAAAUAAUAAUAAUAAUAAUAAUUACCUGGUGCAGUAGGCUGAAUAAUGGCCCCACUAUGUCCAUGCCCUAAACCUUGGAACAUGUGAAUGUUACCUUGAAUAGUGUUUUUGACUGUUUUCUGUUGCUAUAACAGAAUACCUGAGGCUGGAUAAUUUAUAAAUAAAAGAAAUUUAUUUCUCACACUUCUGAAGUCUGGAAAGUCCAAGAGCAUGGCACCGGCAUCUGCUCAACUUCUGAUGAGGGUUUUCAUGGUGAAGGGCAUCACAUGGCAAAAGACCACAGGCAUGCAAACUCAAGUCUCUCUUCCUCUUCUUAUAAAGCCACCAGUCCCAUCAUAGGAGCCCCAUCCUGAUGACGUCACCUAAUACUAAUUACCUCCCCAAAUCUCUGCCUCCAAAUAGCAUCAAGGUAUGAAUUUGGGGAUUUAGUUUUCAACACACGAAAUUUGAGGGACACGUCCAAACCAUAUAGCAUAUGGCAAAGGGAGUUUGCAGAUGUGACUGAGUUAAGAUCUUGAACUUGGAGAUAAUGCUGGAUUAUCCAAGUGGACCCAAUGUCCAAUGGUCCUUAUAAAAGGAGCACAGAAGGAGUCAAAGUUUGAGGAGAAGGUGAUGUGAUUAUAGAAGCAGUAACUGGAGUGAUGCUCUUCAAAGAUGGUGGAACGGGACACAGGCAGCCACCAGAAGCUGAAAAAGGCAAAGAAAUGGAUUCUCCCCUCAGAGCCUCCAGAAGAAACCUCCUAUCAACACCUUGACUUUAGCCUAGUGAAACCAAUUUUGGGUUUCUGACCUCCAGGACAAUAAUAAAUCCAUGUUGUUUUAAGCCACUAAAUUUGUGGUAAUUUGUUACAGUGGCAAUAGGAAACUAAUACACCUGAGGUACUUGCUAAAUAUACAAAUUACCAUCCUUCUCCUAUAUAAAUUCUUAUUAUGGAGGUCUAAGCUGGGAGCCAAAGAAUCUGUUUUUUAACAAGGGUCCAGGGGAUGUUUAUCUUCAGGUCAAUUUGGGAACUGUUGCUGUAGUGAACUGGGAUAGCUCAGCCAAAUUCUUUACCACUUUUCUGGUGAUGGACUUCAUCUGCUUUGGCUACAAGUGUGGAGACAUAACCAAGGAUUGGUCAGUCCUGGCACUCCAUUGCUCUAGAGCUUGAGACUGGUUCACAGGCAGACGUGGUCCACACUGACCAAUCACAAUCCUUCUCUAAGACAUUAUACAUGGAAGCCAUCAGAGAAACGUGUUCUUUCUUUGUGCUGGGAUUUGGUUUAACAGUGGUACCCCAGCAUGGAGUAUUGGCCUGCCACUCCUGGCAGUCAGCUUCUCUGACUACAUCGAGGAAGCUCAUUUGCAGUAGGAAAGAAGAUAAUAAACAAGAAAGCAGAGUAGAAAGCCAGAAGGAGAGAGAGAGAAAACCCUACUCUCCUUUGAGCCUCAGAUCCAAUUGCAUUUGAUGCUGGUACCAUCCCUGUUUUUUUGACCUAUGAGAAUCAAUACAUCUUAUUAUUUUUCAAGCUCAUUGAAUUGGUUUUCAGUCUCUUGAAAUAUAUGGACUCCUAACUCUCACACUGGGAUGUUAUCUGGAGUGGGAGGGGAAUAAAUUUUUUACAUUGUCUGGCU